UACGUAGGGUGCAAGCGUUAAUCGGAAUUACUGGGCGUAAAGCGUGCGCAGGCGGUGAUGUAAGACAGUUGUGAAAUCCCCGGGCUCAACCUGGGAACUGCAUCUGUGACUGCAUCGCUGGAGUGCGGCAGAGGGGGAUGGAAUUCCGCGUGUAGCAGUGAAAUGCGUAGAUAUGCGGAGGAACACCGAUAGCGAAGGCAAUCCCCUGGGCCUGCACUGACGCUCAUGCACGAAAGCGUGGGGAGCAAACAGG
Molecule: ribosomal RNA, 253 nt
Filed under: uncultured bacterium
Lineage: Bacteria
Description: partial 16S ribosomal RNA
Rfam family: Bacterial small subunit ribosomal RNA
Source: RNAcentral